RNAcentral lists this unclassified non-coding RNA (144 nucleotides) under soil metagenome. Its description in RNAcentral is "partial internal transcribed spacer 1". The record is from RNAcentral.
UAAUAAGUGUUUUAUGGCACCUUUUAAAUCCAUAUCCACCUUGUGUGCAAUGUCAGUCGAUCUUCUUCAUGGAGAUCGACCAAACAUCAACCUUUAUCUUUUAACUCUUUGUCUGAAAAAUAUUAUGAAUAAACAAUUCAAAUA